Molecule: ribosomal RNA, 408 nt
Filed under: Triticum aestivum (bread wheat)
Lineage: Eukaryota; Viridiplantae; Streptophyta; Magnoliopsida; Poales; Poaceae
Description: partial small subunit ribosomal RNA
Source: RNAcentral
AUGGAGAACAAUCGUUUGAUCUGUUUGAAGAUUUUUCCUCCAGAAGCAAUUGCCCAAAGUAGCUACCACAUUAGUACUGCUACACAUGCAGUUCCAAAUGCAAUAGGUUCUUCUUGUAGAGACACAAAACCAACCCAGGGUGGUUGUUUUCUAGACCCAAUUCCCUCUAGUUCCAAACCAAGUUGCUCAAAGCUAAUGUUUGCCUACACAGGUCUAAUCUCUAGUUCUAGUGCCACACUACACAUACCUAGUAUUCAAAUAGUUUCCACAUCUCAGACAAAGCCAUGCUCUAGGCACUUGAGCAGUAUAAAAACACAUUCCAAAAUACAGUUGUGUUGUUCAACACACGUGCUGAACGAAGUUUCAGAAGGGCCAGCUUAUUGUGUAAUACAAGGGAAACAACUGUAA